CGCGAGAUAAGGGCUAAUAAAACGCUUGAGGUGGCGUUUUGAGGACAUGGCAUGAAGAUGGUUCUACAUUGUCUGCAUUGGAUGGCAUAAACAACAUUGGUGGAAAGCAGCGAGAAGGUCUGCCAGAUGGGAGUUUGCCAAGUUGAAGAUGUAUUUGAGCAGAGAAGUUGGCCUGGUCGGAUGGAAAGAGAGCGGCUACUUCAUGCUUGAUAGUACGGAGAAAGCGUUUGGAGUAACCGCGGGGCCUAAGGGCCUCAAAAAGGGUCCUAGUAGCCUCCACUACAUGUAAAGAAGACUAUGGUGUCCAAAAAGGGGACCUGCUGGAGAUGAAGAGUAUGUUUAAGUGUGAUACGGGGGUGGUGUGAACUAAGAAUGUGAAUAAAGUGAUUUAAUUCUG
Molecule: long non-coding RNA, 397 nt
Organism: Gadus morhua (Atlantic cod)
Lineage: Eukaryota; Metazoa; Chordata; Actinopteri; Gadiformes; Gadidae
Exons: 4
Source: RefSeq, a predicted model, not a curated record